This is a long non-coding RNA of Oreochromis aureus, 1426 nucleotides long. The record is from Ensembl. NCBI's taxonomy places the organism in Eukaryota, Metazoa, Chordata, Actinopteri, Cichliformes, Cichlidae.
GAUUGAUUAUAUUGUCUCACUGUGUCUCUGUUUUACUUUGGCAGCCUUCUAUUUGGGAGAUUUCCCCCGACAUUUCUUGGUCCUUCGAGCCGGAUGAGACAGCCUAUUUAAAGCAGCUCUCACAGAAGGCGCCUCACCAGGUCCCGUCGGUGCGAGAAGCCCACGUUGAAGUCUGCCGGCAGCUCACGCACUAGGUGCGUGAUAAAACCCAAGAGCGUGAAUUCGGGUCUUGGUCAACGUUUUACAAGCGGUCCGCACCGUCGGGGGCUGAUCAGGUGCAUCUGAAGAAACCAGCGCCAAGUAUCUUGCAGGUUGAAGCCAGGUGAUUGAGUCCUGAUUCGAGUUCUCCAGAGAAAGAAUUGGAGCUCGCCCCGCUGGGAAGGCCCAUACCAAGUGCUUAUCACCACACCAACUGCCUGUAAGAUAGCAGAAAGACCAUCUUGGAUUCACCAAAGCCACUGCAAGAAAGGACCACCCCGAUACGAGGUAAUCACCGUCGAAAACGCUGGACGUGACAACGGAACGUGUGACCAGCUCUUCUGGAUCAACUUCAACGUGACGAAUCGGAACACAUCCAUUCACUUCCCAGUGUUCUUGGACCAAACCCCAGGGAAGAACCACUCCAUGUGCUACCGACAAGACAACGGUAACAGACCCCUAGGCAACACCACCAACUGUAACCAAACCGCUGCCAACGGAGAGGGCGCACCUGUAAACACGUCCGCGCCCAGCAACGGCACCUACUGGGUGCAGGGAAUGGCCUGGCUGUGUGGACAACGUGCCUACUUCAUACUACCACCCGGAUGGACGGGCACCUGUGCCCCAAUCUUCAUCUCAGACCACACCUUCAGGAUGUCAGCUGUAAAUAGCUCUCAGACUACAAGACGACGACGAGACGUCUCCACACUACAACCACAUGACCCCAUCUAUGGCAGUGAUGUGCCAGAGGAAUUUAAGCUUUGGACCACCGGACAAAAGGUCCUCCACUCACUGUUUCCAUGGGUGGGCACCGGAAAGAACAUGUUAAGGAUUGACACUUUGGACUGUUCCUGAAUGCCUCGUGCAAAAUCAACAAUCAACAAAAUGAAGAGAUUGAUGCCCUGCGCAUAACUGUGAUGCAACACCGAGUCGCACUGGACAUGAUUCUGGCUGAGAAAGGAGGACUCUGUAUACUCUUUAACAACACAUGCUGUACGUACAUUCCAGAUAAUGUUCACUCUUCCAACAUGACCGACGCCUUACGCACGCUGAAACAACUCAGGGACGCUCAGCAACAGGACUAUGUCACGAACACUGAGGAUUGGCUUACCUGGCUGUUGAGUGGUUCCUGGAAAUCUCUUUUAAUAAAAGGACUGGUUUUUGUAGGAGUUCUUCUACUCCUACUCUGUUGUUUUACUUCUUGUAUUUUGCCAUGUGUACAAUCAAU